AUAUUUUGGACUCAAAUCCCAACUUAAACUUUGGAACCUGGACCCAAACUCAAACUUGAACCUUGACUUAAACCCUAGACCUAGAUCCCAACCCGAAUCUCAGACCCCGAUCUCGAUUUCGACUCAGACCUCAAACCUUAAACUUGGACCACGGAUCCGACUCUUGCCCCUAGACCCUUGUCCCAGACCUAAACCCUAGACUCGACCCUGUCCUCAGACCCGAACUUGGACACGUACCCCCAAUUCGACUCGGACCCCCAACUCAUACUAAGUUAUUUAUUGGAAUCAGAUUUUAAACUAAUUCAUAAUGUUUCCGCAACCUUAAUCUAGUAUUUAUAUUUAUAUAAGAAAUGGAAAUAUACAAAAAUAUAACUAAAUUGUUAAAGAUCCAAAAUUAUAACCAGAGAUUAAUAAUUUCCAUUUUUUUAAAGCUUUUUCUCCUGCAAAAAUCAAAACUCAUAAAUGUAAACAUCAAUGGCAAUCUUGGCAUAUCAAAACAUGGAUUAUGAGGACGAGCGUGACUAGCCUACAUGACCCUCUAGGUCUGUUCAAUUGCUCCCCCGCAUCUCUCUCGGUCUGUUCAAUUGCUCUUUCUCUCUGGUGAGGUUUCGCGGUCUGCUUCAGUCGCACAACCGGCAUUACUGGCGAUUGACGAACAGAGGCAAACCUCCAAGUCGUAUCUUUGAUCUGGCAUCAUAAAACUCCCAUCUUAGCCUUCGUCAAAUCUGAUUUGGCAUCAUAGAACCCCAUCUUAACCUUCGUCAACUCCGAUCUGCUGCUAAGCCACCUUCUAAAACUUCAGGUGACGAAAAGAGUGCAUUAGAUAUAGUGAGAGAUUAUCAAGAUUUCUACGCCACCAAACAAGAGGAUGAAUAUCAUGGCACUCCAACGAUCUUUGGUGGUCAGAAGUAGAAGGAGAGCCCUGUCAAUUGUCCAUGCUUCAAGGUCGAAGACAUUUCUCAGGAAGAUCGAGCUCUCUGCGUUUUCUCGAUCUACGAAUCCCUUUCCCCGGUAGUAUGUAACUUUUUUCCCUUUAUCUCUAUAUAUGAUUGUGAUUGUGGAUAUUGUUAUUUUCAUUGGUAUUAGGGUUUCUUUCUGUAAUUGUUCUUAGCUGAGUGGAUUUUUAGAGUAACUUAAAUUCACGGUUAAUAAUAUAUUUUUUUGUUUUAUUCUGUGAGGGAUUUGGGAUGUUUUGGGGUCGGCUUAGGAUGGGCAAUCGGAGAUGGAGAGCUCGGUUGGCCUUGGGGGAUGGUAAUUGGGGUCACUCUUUCUUCAGCCGAUUCUCAGAAGCAAUUAGGUUCCUUUUCAGUUUUCCAGGCAGAAGCAGUUGCUUUACUAGUAGGAUUGCGUUGGGCUCAAGAUGUGGGACUUCCCGUGGAGAAAGUUUUUUUUGAUUCACUUUCUUUGGUCUCAGCUUUGGAGGGUCAGACUGUGUAUUUAAAUGAACUGGGGGUUAUCUUUUCUGAUAUUAAAGUCCUAUUGUCUAGUUUUUCUGGGACAUCUCUUUCUCAUUAGCCGCAACUUUAAUGUUGAGGCUCAUAGAUUGGCUAAGCAUGCCCUUAAGAUAAACAAUAAACUUUCUUGGAUGGAAGAAAUCCCCCUCCUUCUGUGUAA
Long non-coding RNA from Cannabis sativa, 1614 nucleotides. RefSeq lists it as uncharacterized. The transcript is spliced from 3 exons. The record is from RefSeq and is a predicted model, not a curated record. NCBI's taxonomy places the organism in Eukaryota, Viridiplantae, Streptophyta, Magnoliopsida, Rosales, Cannabaceae.